Molecule: ribosomal RNA, 592 nt
Filed under: uncultured fungus
Lineage: Eukaryota; Fungi
Description: eukaryotic LSU rRNA
Rfam family: Eukaryotic large subunit ribosomal RNA
Source: RNAcentral
ACCCGCUGAACUUAAGCCGGAGGAAAAGAAACCAACAGGGAUUGCCCUAGUAACGGCGAGUGAAGCGGCAACAGCUCAAAUUUGAAAUCUGGCGUCUUUGGCGUCCGAGUUGUAAUUUGCAGAGGGCGCUUUGGCAUUGGCAGCGGUCCAAGUUCCUUGGAACAGGACGUCACAGAGGGUGAGAAUCCCGUACGUGGUCGCUAGCCUUUACCGUGUAAAGCCCCUUCGACGAGUCGAGUUGUUUGGGAAUGCAGCUCUAAAUGGGAGGUAAAUUUCUUCUAAAGCUAAAUACUGGCCAGAGACCGAUAGCGCACAAGUAGAGUGAUCGAAAGAUGAAAAGCACUUUGGAAAGAGAGUUAAAAAGCACGUGAAAUUGUUGAAAGGGAAGCGCUUGCAGCCAGACUUGCCUGUAGUUGCUCAUCCGGGUUUUUACCCGGUGCACUCUUCUAUAGGCAGGCCAGCAUCAGUUUGGGCGGUUGGAUAAAGGUCUCUGUCAUGUACCUCUCUUCGGGGAGAACUUAUAGGGGAGACGACAUGCAACCAGCCCGGACUGAGGUCCGCGCAUCUGCUAGGAUGCUGGCGUAAUGGCUGU